UUUGAUCCUCGGCUCAGAUUGAACGCUAGCGGGAUGCCUUACACAUGCAAGUCGAACGGCAGCACGGACUUCGGUCUGGUGGCGAGUGGCGAACGGGUGAGUAAUGUAUCGGAACGUGCCCAGUAGCGGGGGAUAACUACGCGAAAGCGUAGCUAAUACCGCAUACGCCCUACGGGGGAAAGCAGGGGAUCGCAAGACCUUGCACUAUUGGAGCGGCCGAUAUCGGAUUAGCUAGUUGGUGGGGUAACGGCUCACCAAGGCGACGAUCCGUAGCUGGUUUGAGAGGACGACCAGCCACACUGGGACUGAGACACGGCCCAGACUCCUACGGGAGGCAGCAGUGGGGAAUUUUGGACAAUGGGGGAAACCCUGAUCCAGCCAUCCCGCGUGUGCGAUGAAGGCCUUCGGGUUGUAAAGCACUUUUGGCAGGAAAGAAACGUCAUGGGUUAAUACCCCGUGAAACUGACGGUACCUGCAGAAUAAGCACCGGCUAACUACGUGCCAGCCGCCGCGGUA
RNAcentral lists this ribosomal RNA (516 nucleotides) under Streptomyces sp. WAC 01420. RNAcentral's name for it is "bacterial SSU rRNA". It matches the Rfam family "Bacterial small subunit ribosomal RNA", at positions 12 to 522 of the family's 1533-position model. Lineage: Bacteria; Bacillati; Actinomycetota; Actinomycetes; Kitasatosporales; Streptomycetaceae. The record is from RNAcentral.